Molecule: ribosomal RNA, 253 nt
Filed under: uncultured bacterium
Lineage: Bacteria
Description: partial 16S ribosomal RNA
Rfam family: Bacterial small subunit ribosomal RNA
Source: RNAcentral
GACAGAGGUCCCGAGCGUUAGGCGGAAUCACUGGGCUUAAAGCGUGUGUAGGCGGAUUUGUAAGUACCUUGUGAAAUCCCACAGCUUAACUGUGGAACUGCUUGGUAUACUGCUUAUCUUGGGCCACUUAGGGGUUACCGGAACAAACGGUGGAGCGGUGAAAUGCGUAGAUAUCGUUUGGAACGCCAAUGGUGAAAACAGGUAACUGGGAGUGUGCCGACGCGGAGAUACGAAAGCCAGGGGAGCGAACGGG